Molecule: ribosomal RNA, 465 nt
Filed under: uncultured bacterium
Lineage: Bacteria
Description: partial 16S ribosomal RNA
Rfam family: Bacterial small subunit ribosomal RNA
Source: RNAcentral
CCUACGUGAGACAGCAGUGGGGAAUAUUGCGCAAUGGGCGAAAGCCUGACGCAGCGACGCCGCGUGCGGGAUGAAGGUCUUCGGAUCGUAAACCUCUGUCAGCAGGGACGAACGGUCACUGUGCUAAUCAGCAGUGAAUUGACGGUACCUGCAAAGGAAGCACCGGCUAACUCCGUGCCAGCAGCCGCGGUAAUACGGAGGGUGCGCGCGUUAAUCGGAUUUACUGGGCGUAAAGCGCUCGUAGGCGGUAUGUCAAGUCAAGGGUGAAAUCCCCGCGCUCAACGUGGGAACUGCCUUUGAAACUGGUGAUCUGGAGUGUGUGAGAGGAUAGUGGAAUUCAAGGUGUAGGAGUGAAAUCCGUAGAGAUCUGGCGGAACAUCAGUGGCGAAGGCGACUAUCCGGUACAUAACUGACGUUGAGGAGCGAAAGCGUGGGGAGCAAACAGGAUUAGAUACCCUAGUAGUC